Molecule: long non-coding RNA, 843 nt
Filed under: Olea europaea subsp. europaea
Lineage: Eukaryota; Viridiplantae; Streptophyta; Magnoliopsida; Lamiales; Oleaceae
Source: RNAcentral
CACACUUAUCAGUUCCAUGGGGAAUUUACAAGCUCAUGGUGGAUAUGAAGAAAAGAUAUAACAAUCCGAUCAUUUAUAUUACGGAAAAUGGUAAGUAGUCGGGUAAUUUAUUAGUAUACCAGUUAUAAUUAUAUAAAAAGGUAUGUAUUGUAAUAUGUACAAAUUUAAUUUGAUGGAAAUAAUUCUUCAUGAUUUGUGUAUAACCAUAAGUCCGUAAAUUGUACACAGGCUCUGUCAGAUGAGAUAAGGAUUCACUAUCACCAAGAACAUCUAUGUCAGCUCAAGAAAGCAAUGGAGUACAGAAUAAUUUAAUUUGUUGUCCAAAUUAAUUAAUUAUGAAUGUAUCCACUACAUUUUGUUAACUCAAUUCAUGUAUGAUUUUGCUUUUCCUUUUCAGCGGCACAAAUGGAAAAGAUGGAGUAAAGGUGAAGGGUUACUUCAUAUGGUCUUUGUUUGAUAAUUUUGAAUGGGCCGAGGGAUGUAGUGUCAGAUUUGGUAUUAUUUAUGUGCACCACGAUAAUGGCCGUUAUACAAGGUUGCCAAAGAACUCAGCUGUAUGGUGGAGGAAUUUCCUCAGCAAGAAGGCUGAAAUUCCAUCAGAGAAAGAAGCUGAAAAACCUGAAGAACGUCGUAAAAGGCUUAGAAGCAAUAAUUAAGCUUAUAAAAAUUAGUGCGCCCUUGUUGAAUAAUGCACUGUUGCAACUGUUGCCUUUAGUUUGUUUCCUUCUUGUCUUUUUUGUGUUUCAACUUGCACUGUUGUGUUCAAAUAAAAGGAGCUGGCCAAUGAGGUUUCAAGCUAAACUCUCGUGUUGAUUGUCUUCAUCUGUGAAAUAAAAAAUUUGG